GUCGGUGGCCAUACCACGUUGAAAGCACUGGUUCUCGUCGGAUCACCGAAGUUAAGCAACUUUGGGCCAGGCUAGUACUUGCAUGGGUUACCGGCUGGAAAUACCGGAUGCUGCCGGCU
Molecule: ribosomal RNA, 119 nt
Filed under: Trichobilharzia regenti
Lineage: Eukaryota; Metazoa; Platyhelminthes; Trematoda; Strigeidida; Schistosomatidae
Source: RNAcentral